RNAcentral lists this ribosomal RNA (386 nucleotides) under Escherichia coli. RNAcentral describes it as "partial 23S ribosomal RNA". It matches the Rfam family "Bacterial large subunit ribosomal RNA", at positions 1292 to 1680 of the family's 2925-position model. The record is from RNAcentral. Lineage: Bacteria; Pseudomonadati; Pseudomonadota; Gammaproteobacteria; Enterobacterales; Enterobacteriaceae.
GAAUGCUGACAUAAGUAACGAUAAAGCGGGUGAAAAGCCCGCUCGCCGGAAGACCAAGGGUUCCUGUCCAACGUUAAUCGGGGCAGGGUGAGUCGACCCCUAAGGCGAGGCCGAAAGGCGUAGUCGAUGGGAAACAGGUUAAUAUUCCUGUACUUGGUGUUACUGCGAAGGGGGGACGGAGAAGGCUAUGUUGGCCGGGCGACGGUUGUCCCGGUUUAAGCGUGUAGGCUGGUUUUCCAGGCAAAUCCGGAAAACCAAGGCUGAGGCGUGAUGACGAGGCACUACGGUGCUGAAGCGACAAAUGCCCUGCUUCCAGGAAAAGCCUCUAAGCAUCAGGUAACAUCAAAUCGUACCCCAAACCGACACAGGUGGUCAGGUAGAGAAUA